UUGUUUGCUCUCUCUGAACUUCAGCUCAGGUUCAGACCAAUGUUCCAGCCUGUCCAGUGCAACAGCACAAAACCAGCAGGAGCACCCUGGCCACCUGCCAGCCCAAGCUGGCAAACAUCACCAUGGCUGCUAUCAAGAUGUUCCCAGGCACAAUUCAAUAAGUUUGAUAUACUGAGCAUGAUGCUAUAUGGUAUGGAAACUCCCUUUGGUCAGUUUGGAUCAUCUAUCCCAGCUGUGUACCUCCCAUACACCCCCAAUUUCCUCACCAGAGCAGUGGUACAAAAAGUGGAAGAGUACUUGGAUCUGUGUAAGCCCUGUUCAGCAACAAGAAAAACAUCUCUGUAUUAUCAACUCUGCCCAGUCCAGAUCCAAAACACAACCCCACCUCACCCACUGUGAAGAUGGUCAACCACCUCUGCCCAAAUCAACACACAAGAUCACCAUAAACUGUUAAAGGCUCUUACUUAGACACUCAUCUCCUAUGUAAGUAGAUCCUUACACAGUCACCAUCUAGAGUGGGUGGGCAGUUCUAGGUAAAGAGGCUUCAAUUUAUGUGUGUCAAAUUAAUACACAGAUCUGCAGUUCACAUGCCUGUCUGCCAUUUCCAUGAGGUCUGUUUAGAAGAAUAAUGUAUUCUUAAGAACUUUUCUAUCAGUAAAGCAAAAGAACAGCUCUUCAGUUUCUUCUGGUUCAUUCUAAAGCUACAGGGUUACCAAAACAAAUUUUUAGGAAGAGUCAGAUUUCCACAACCAGAGACUAGUGCUGAAUGGUUCAACAUCCAAUUGGAGAUUAGUGAUCAGUGGUGUCAUCAGGCUUCCAAAUUGGGAUCAGUAGUAUUUAAUACCUUUAUCAAUGGCAUAGACAGUGGGGUUGAGUGCACCCUCAGCAAAUUUGUAAAUUACACCAAGCUCAGUGGUAUGGUUGACAGCCCCGAGGGACAGGAUGCCACCCAGUGGGAGCUGGACAAGAUCAAUAAAUAAUCCCAUGGGAAUCUCAUGUGAGUCAACAAGGCCAAGUACAAGGUUCUCUACCUGGGUUGGGACAAUCUCUGAUACCAAUAUAAGAUGGGGGAUGAAGGGAAUGAGAGAAGCCCUGCUGAAACAGCUUGGGUGGAUGAGCAGCUGGACUUAGCCAGCAAUGCACUCUCAGUCCAGAAGACAACUGCAUCCUGGGCUGCAUCAAAAGAUGUGUGGCCAGAACAUCGAGAAAGGUGAUUCUGCUCCUCAGCUUUCCUCCUGUAGGACACCAUUGUGACACUGUGGUCCCCACCUUGCCUUUUUCUGCUUAACCAAUGGCCACCAGUGGUGGUUGUGAUAGCUGUGUCUGACUUACAGAUAUCAAUCCAAUAGCUAAGGACCCUAAAUCUUGUUCGACAACUAAGGGGAGUUAGUUUUGCCAACAGCUCAGGGCUAGUUGACCAUGCAACAACCCAAAAUACAUCUGGUAUGUAAAUAUGACUGUAAGUCAAUCUUUUAUUCCAUGAAUAGUGGACAGCCUGGGCCCAUUGAGCUGUCCCUCAUGGGAGUGAAUCGCAUGCCAGGAUCUCUCCUUGAGCAGGAACACCUCUCAGGCCUACUCCUUAUUGCUGAGAGACCUCUCACUGCAACAGAUUCUUGGUGAAGUGAGAAGUAAGUAUCACUUAAUCUGUGAUACUGUUCUGGAAUACUGCAUUCAUCUUGGGAGUCCUCAGCACAGGAGAGACAUGGAGGGGGUGCAGAGGAAGGCCACAAAAAAGGUCAAAGCAAUGAAACAGCUCUGAGAGAGCUGGGGUUGUUCAGCCUGGAGAAGUCCUCUUAAUACUUAAAGGAGGCUUAAAAAAAAGACUGGGACAGACUUUUUAACAGGGUUUGUAGUAAUAGGACAAGGUCUCAUUGUUUUGAAAUAAAAGAGGGUAGAUUCAGAGUAGAUAUAAGGAAGACAUUUUUUACAAUGAGAGUGGCGAAACACAAGAACAGGUUGCCCAGAGGGGUGUUAGAUGCCCCAUCCCUGGAAAACAUGCAAGAUCAGUCUGGACAGGGCUCUCAGCAACCUGGUCAAAUUGAAGAGAUGUCGUUGCAGGGGGCUUUGACUAGAUGACCUUUAAAUGUUCCUUCCAACCCAAUCUAUUAUAUUUCAAAUUACUUUGGGGUCUCUUGCUUAAUGGGAAUUGCUUGAGUUAAAAAAAUUCAAUAAACAGAAGACCAAGAAACCAACCUUUUCUUCCUUAUUGGGAGGACUGUUAGUUGAUGUGGAACAGAACCUCUUGCAGAGGAUGUGGAACAGAACCUCUUGCAGACCAAAUGAGCAAUUAUUUUUGGCACAGCAGAACACUGCUGUUCCUCUCCCAAAGAUUCCUUGAACAAAUAUACUUACCUGUCUUCCUUCCUCUGUUUUGUGAUUGUUCUCACAGAGAGCUCUUGCCAUGCAAGAUAAACAAGAGAACAUAAUCCAGGGAGUGCCCUGCUCGGGAAUAAGCAGGGUAAUUAUCUGCUAAAGGAUAAUUGGGUCAAGUGUGCAUCAUAUGCUUUAUGCUUUCAUUUGGAGCAUAAUACUUGUCUCUGGAAUCUUCUUUUUAGUUCAUCUCUUGUUUUGGUAUGCGUGGCUUUUCUUUUUUGUUUGUUUGUUUGGUUGGUUUUUAUUGUUUU
Long non-coding RNA from Passer montanus (Eurasian tree sparrow), 2624 nucleotides. RefSeq lists it as uncharacterized. The record is from RefSeq and is a predicted model, not a curated record. NCBI's taxonomy places the organism in Eukaryota, Metazoa, Chordata, Aves, Passeriformes, Passeridae. The transcript has 3 exons.